RNAcentral lists this ribosomal RNA (498 nucleotides) under Triticum aestivum (bread wheat). Its description in RNAcentral is "partial small subunit ribosomal RNA". The record is from RNAcentral. Lineage: Eukaryota; Viridiplantae; Streptophyta; Magnoliopsida; Poales; Poaceae.
AUGCAACGGUUUCAAAAGAGGCAUGAGAAGGUGGGCGAGAAUAGCUUUGAGGCUUUGGUCAUUGAGGAUUUUGAUUGGGGCAAUGAGUGGGUGGACCCAUCACUAUCACAGCCUCAAGGUGCUCGAGGUUGUCCUGAAGACAAUCAAGACAUUACAUGGGAGGAUGUUGAUGUGGCUAUUGGUGCAUCUUCGAACCUUCGAGGCCGCAAUCUGCAUAGGACAUCAACUAUAGUUCGUAGGGGCCAGACAAAUGUCUGUCUGCAACACUACGCACGCAAGAGACCUACUACAACACGACCUACAAAUCCUGAAGAAGAUGAAGCAGAGGAGGACUUGGAGCAAGAACAACACUCAAGUAUGCCCAAUGCGGAGGGGGAGGAUUCAGACUACGUUGAGGAUGAUGAUGAUGUGAGCAAUGACGAUCAAGAGCCAACUAAUGUUGACCAAGAUGGUGAAGACAGCACCAAUGCCAAUGAGUUUGAUGAUGAUGACUUUUGA